AACGAACGCUGGCGGCAGGCCUAACACAUGCAAGUCGAGCGCCCGGAUUUAUCCGGGAGCGGCGCACGGGUGAGUAACGCGUGGGAACAUGCCCUGAAGUACGGAACAACCUGGGGAAACCUUGGCUAAUACCGUAUACGCCCUGAGGGGGAAAGAUUUAUCGCUUUGGGAUUGGCCCGCGUUGGAUUAGCUAGUUGGUGUGGUAACGGCGCACCAAGGCGACGAUCCAUAACUGGUCUGAGAGGAUGACCAGGCACACUGGGACUGAGACACGGCCCAGAAUCCUACGGGAGGCAGCAGUGGGGAAUAUUGGACAAUGGGCGCAAGCCUGAUCCAGCCAUGCCGCGUGAGUGAAGAAGGCCUUCGGGUUGUAAAGCUCUUUCAGCGGGGACGAUGAUGACGGUACCCGCAGAAGAAGCCCCGGCUAACUUCGUGCCAGCCGCCGCCGUAA
Molecule: ribosomal RNA, 451 nt
Filed under: uncultured bacterium
Lineage: Bacteria
Description: partial 16S ribosomal RNA
Rfam family: Bacterial small subunit ribosomal RNA
Source: RNAcentral